GGGGUUGUGGCUCAGUGAUAGAGCACUUGCCUCGCACACAUGAGGCCCUGUGUUUGAUUCUCAGCACCACA
Molecule: transfer RNA, 71 nt
Filed under: Marmota monax (woodchuck)
Lineage: Eukaryota; Metazoa; Chordata; Mammalia; Rodentia; Sciuridae
Description: tRNA.Ala
Rfam family: tRNA
About the family: Transfer RNA (tRNA) molecules are approximately 80 nucleotides in length. Their secondary structure includes four short double-helical elements and three loops (D, anti-codon, and T loops).
Source: RNAcentral